This 2921-nucleotide ribosomal RNA is filed under the name Streptococcus pneumoniae. Its description in RNAcentral is "bacterial LSU rRNA". It matches the Rfam family "Bacterial large subunit ribosomal RNA". The record is from RNAcentral. Lineage: Bacteria; Bacillati; Bacillota; Bacilli; Lactobacillales; Streptococcaceae.
UUAAGUUAGAAAGGGCGCACGGUGGAUGCCUUGACACUAGGAGUCGAUGAAGGACGGGACUAACGCCGAUAUGCUUCGGGGAGCUGUAAGUAAGCUUUGAUCCGAAGAUUUCCGAAUGGGGAAACCCACCAUACGUAAUGGUAUGGUAUCCUUAUCUGAAUACAUAGGGUAAGGAAGACAGACCCAGGGAACUGAAACAUCUAAGUACCUGGAGGAAGAGAAAGCAAAUGCGAUUUCCUGAGUAGCGGCGAGCGAAACGGAACAUAGCCCAAACCAAGAGGCUUGCCUCUUGGGGUUGUAGGACAUUCUAUACGGAGUUACAAAGGAACGAGGUAGACGAAGCGACCUGGAAAGGUCCGUCGUAGAGGGUAACAACCCCGUAGUCGAAACUUCGUUCUCUCUUGAAUGUAUCCUGAGUACGGCGGAACACGUGAAAUUCCGUCGGAAUCUGGGAGGACCAUCUCCCAAGGCUAAAUACUCCCUAGUGAUCGAUAGUGAACCAGUACCGUGAGGGAAAGGUGAAAAGCACCCCGGAAGGGGAGUGAAAGAGAUCCUGAAACCGUGUGCCUACAAAUAGUCAGAGCCCGUUAACGGGUGAUGGCGUGCCUUUUGUAGAAUGAACCGGCGAGUUACGAUCCCGUGCGAGGUUAAGCUGAAGAGGCGGAGCCGCAGCGAAAGCGAGUCUGAAUAGGGCGUUUAGUACGUGGUCGUAGACCCGAAACCAGGUGAUCUACCCAUGUCCAGGGUGAAGUUCAGGUAACACUGAAUGGAGGCCCGAACCCACGCACGUUGAAAAGUGCGGGGAUGAGGUGUGGGUAGCGGAGAAAUUCCAAUCGAACCUGGAGAUAGCUGGUUCUCCCCGAAAUAGCUUUAGGGCUAGCCUUAAGUGUAAGAGUCUUGGAGGUAGAGCACUGAUUGGACUAGGGGUCCUCAUCGGAUUACCGAAUUCAGUCAAACUCCGAAUGCCAAUGACUUAUCCUUAGGAGUCAGACUGCGAGUGAUAAGAUCCGUAGUCAAAAGGGAAACAGCCCAGACCGCCAGCUAAGGUCCCAAAGUGUGUAUUAAGUGGAAAAGGAUGUGGAGUUGCUUAGACAACUAGGAUGUUGGCUUAGAAGCAGCCACCAUUUAAAGAGUGCGUAAUAGCUCACUAGUCGAGUGACUCUGCGCCGAAAAUGUACCGGGGCUAAAUACACCACCGAAGCUGCGGAUUGAUACCGAAUGGUAUCAGUGGUAGGGGAGCGUUCUAAGGACAGUGAAGUCAGACCGUAAGGACUGGUGGAGUGCUUAGAAGUGAGAAUGCCGGUAUGAGUAGCGAAAGACGGGUGAGAAUCCCGUCCACCGAAUGCCUAAGGUUUCCUGAGGAAGGCUCGUCCGCUCAGGGUUAGUCAGGACCUAAGCCGAGGCCGACAGGCGUAGGCGAUGGACAACAGGUUGAUAUUCCUGUACCACCUCUUUAUCGUUUGAGCAAUGGAGGGACGCAGAAGGAUAGAAGAAGCGUGCGAUUGGUUGUGCACGUCCAAGCAGUUAGGCUGAUAAGUAGGCAAAUCCGCUUAUCAUAAAGGCUGAGCUGUGAUGGGGAAGCUCCUUAUGGAGCGAAGUCUUUGAUUCCCCGCUGCCAAGAAAAGCUUCUAGCGAGAUAAAAGGUGCCUGUACCGCAAACCGACACAGGUAGGCGAGGAGAGAAUCCUAAGGUGUGCGAGAGAACUCUGGUUAAGGAACUCGGCAAAAUGACCCCGUAACUUCGGGAGAAGGGGUGCUUUCUUAACGGAAAGCCGCAGUGAAUAGGCCCAAGCGACUGUUUAGCAAAAACACAGCUCUCUGCGAAGCCGUAAGGCGAAGUAUAGGGGGUGACACCUGCCCGGUGCUGGAAGGUUAAGGAGAGGGGUUAGCGUAAGCGAAGCUCUGAACUGAAGCCCCAGUAAACGGCGGCCGUAACUAUAACGGUCCUAAGGUAGCGAAAUUCCUUGUCGGGUAAGUUCCGACCCGCACGAAAGGUGUAACGAUUUGGGCACUGUCUCAACCAGAGACUCGGUGAAAUUAUAGUACCUGUGAAGAUGCAGGUUACCCGCGACAGGACGGAAAGACCCCGUGGAGCUUUACUGUAGCCUGAUAUUGAAUUUUGGUACAGUUUGUACAGGAUAGGCGGGAGCCAUUGAAACCGGAGCGCUAGCUUCGGUGGAGGCGCUGGUGGGAUACCGCCCUGACUGUAUUGAAAUUCUAACCUACGGGUCUUAUCGACCCGGGAGACAGUGUCAGGUGGGCAGUUUGACUGGGGCGGUCGCCUCCUAAAGUGUAACGGAGGCGCCCAAAGGUUCCCUCAGAAUGGUUGGAAAUCAUUCGUAGAGUGCAAAGGCAUAAGGGAGCUUGACUGCGAGACCUACAAGUCGAGCAGGGACGAAAGUCGGGCUUAGUGAUCCGGUGGUUCCGCAUGGAAGGGCCAUCGCUCAACGGAUAAAAGCUACCCUGGGGAUAACAGGCUUAUCUCCCCCAAGAGUCCACAUCGACGGGGAGGUUUGGCACCUCGAUGUCGGCUCAUCGCAUCCUGGGGCUGUAGUCGGUCCCAAGGGUUGGGCUGUUCGCCCAUUAAAGCGGUACGCGAGCUGGGUUCAGAACGUCGUGAGACAGUUCGGUCCCUAUCCGUCGUGGGCGUAGGAAAUUUGAGAGGAGCUGUCCUUAGUACGAGAGGACCGGGAUGGACGCACCGCUGGUGUACCAGUUGUUCUGCCAAGGGCAUAGCUGGGUAGCUAUGUGCGGAAGGGAUAAGUGCUGAAAGCAUCUAAGCAUGAAGCCCCCCUCAAGAUGAGAUUUCCCAUAGCGUAAGCUAGUAAGAUCCCUGAAAGAUGAUCAGGUUGAUAGGUUCGAGGUGGAAGCAUGGUGACAUGUGGAGCUGACGAAUACUAAUAGAUCGAGGACUUAACCAU